Anolis carolinensis (green anole) is the source of this 64-nucleotide small nucleolar RNA. The record is from Ensembl. NCBI's taxonomy places the organism in Eukaryota, Metazoa, Chordata, Lepidosauria, Squamata, Anolidae.
UGGAUCAAUGAUGAUGUUUACUCAUUCAAGUUGAGCAUCUCUUAUCUGGAAUUCUGAAAUCCAA